GAUGAACGCUGGCGGCGUGCCUAAUACAUGCAAGUCGAGCGAACAGAUGAGGAGCUUGCUCCUCUGACGUUAGCGGCGGACGGGUGAGUAACACGUGGAUAACCUACCUAUAAGACUGGGAUAACUUCGGGAAACCGGAGCUAAUACCGGAUAAUAUAUUGAACCGCAUGGUUCAAUAGUGAAAGACGGUUUUGCUGUCACUUAUAGAUGGAUCCGCGCCGCAUUAGCUAGUUGGUAAGGUAACGGCUUACCAAGGCAACGAUGCGUAGCCGACCUGAGAGGGGGGUAGGCCACACUGGAACUGAGACACGGUCCAGACUCCUACGGGAGGCAGCAGAAGGGAAUCUGCGGCAAUGGGCGAAAGCCUGACGGAGCAACGCCGCGUGAGUGAUGAAGGUCUUCGGAGCGUAAAACUCUGUUAUUAGGGAAGAACAAAUGUGUAAGUAGCUAUGCACGGCUUGACGGUACCGGAUCAGAAAGCCACGGCUAACUACGUG
Molecule: ribosomal RNA, 497 nt
Filed under: uncultured bacterium
Lineage: Bacteria
Description: partial 16S ribosomal RNA
Rfam family: Bacterial small subunit ribosomal RNA
Source: RNAcentral